This 247-nucleotide ribosomal RNA is filed under the name uncultured bacterium. Its description in RNAcentral is "partial 16S ribosomal RNA". It matches the Rfam family "Bacterial small subunit ribosomal RNA", at positions 524 to 775 of the family's 1533-position model. The record is from RNAcentral.
UACAGAGGGGCGAAGCGUUAUUCGGAAUUAUUGGGCGUAAAGGGCGCGUAGGCGGCCUGGCAAGUGGAUGGUGAAAUCCCUCGGCUUAACCGAGGAACUGCCAUCCAGACUGCUUGCUUGAGACCGGGAGAGGUGAGUGGAAUUCCCAGUGUAGCGGUGAAAUGCGUAGAUAUUGGGAGGAACACCAGUGGCGAAGGCGGCUCACUGGACCGUACUGACGCUGAGGCGCGAAGCGUGGGAGCAACGG